RNAcentral lists this long non-coding RNA (316 nucleotides) under Physcomitrium patens. Its description in RNAcentral is "long non-coding RNA (PPAT_LNC006313)". Lineage: Eukaryota; Viridiplantae; Streptophyta; Bryopsida; Funariales; Funariaceae. The record is from RNAcentral.
AAUAAAAUUUUAAAAAUAAUAAAAUAGUAAAAUAAAAUAUUAUCGUAAAAAUAAAUAUUAUAUUAAAAUUAUAAAUAAUAAAAUUUAAAAAUCCAGUUUUUUACACACAACUUCAGUCCAACUCACAUUUCACCACUCCAACAACAUAUCCAAACAUCAAACCACAAAAAAAGAAAAAACAAAGAACAAAUAAAGUUAAAAAGCUAAACAGAAACACAAAAACAAAGCACUAUAUCAUAAAAACAAUUGAUUCAAUGCAACAUUAGUGUGAAAAGCUUUAUAAAAAAUAAAAAAAUUACAUUCUGCAUUCAUGCAA